RNAcentral lists this ribosomal RNA (347 nucleotides) under uncultured gamma proteobacterium MT33. RNAcentral describes it as "bacterial SSU rRNA". It matches the Rfam family "Bacterial small subunit ribosomal RNA", at positions 1136 to 1482 of the family's 1533-position model. The record is from RNAcentral. Lineage: Bacteria; Pseudomonadati; Pseudomonadota; Gammaproteobacteria.
CUCUAAGGAAGACCUGCCGGUUACAAACCGGAGAAAGGUGGGAAGACGUCAAAGUCAUCAAUGGCCCUUACGGCCUGGGCUACACACGUGCUACAAUGGAACGCACAGAGGGCAGCAAACCCGCGAGGGGGAACGAAUCCCACAAACGUUUCGUAGUCCGGAUCGGAGUCUGCAACUCGACUCCGUGAAGUCGGAAUCGCUAGUAAUCGUGAAUCAGAAUGUCACGGUGAAUACGUUCCCGGGCCUUGUACACACCGCCCGUCACACCAUGGGAGUGGGUUGCUCCAGAAGUGGUUAGCCUAACCUUCGGGAGGGCGAUCACCACGGAGUGAUUCAUGACUGGGGUG